GUUGCGGUCCUCACCGGCUUCUCUCUGGCCCCCGUGUGUCGAGUCCAGGUGGCCCGAGGCACCACAACCCGGAGGAGCAGGUUGAAAAGAUCCGAUGGCAGCACCACUUCGACCAGCUUCAUCCUCAGACAGGGUUCAGCGGAUUCCUACACAAGCAGGCCGUCUGACUCCGAUGUCUCUUUGGAAGAGGACCGGGAAGCAAUUCGACAGGAGAGAGAACAGCAAGCAGCUAUCCAGCUUGAGAGAGCAAAGUCCAAACCUGUAGCAUUUGCCGUGAAGACAAAUGUGAGCUACUGCGGCGCCCUGGAUGAGGAUGUGCCUGUUCCAAGCACAGCUAUCUCCUUUGAUGCUAAAGACUUUCUACAUAUUAAAGAGAAAUAUAACAAUGAUUGGUGGAUAGGAAGGCUGGUGAAAGAGGGCUGUGAAAUUGGCUUCAUUCCAAGUCCACUCAGAUUGGAGAACAUACGGAUUCAGCAAGAACAAAAAAGAGGACGUUUUCACGGAGGGAAAUCAAGUGGAAAUUCUUCUUCAAGUCUUGGAGAAAUGGUAUCUGGGACAUUUCGAGCAACUCCCACGUCAACAGCAAAACAGAAGCAAAAAGUGACGGAGCACAUUCCUCCUUACGAUGUUGUGCCGUCAAUGCGUCCGGUGGUGUUAGUGGGGCCGUCACUGAAAGGUUACGAGGUAACAGACAUGAUGCAGAAAGCCCUCUUUGAUUUCCUGAAGCACAGGUUUGAUGGGAGGAUAUCAAUAACGAGAGUGACAGCUGACAUUUCUCUUGCUAAGAGGUCUGUCCUAAAUAAUCCCAGCAAGAGAGCAAUAAUUGAACGUUCGAACACCCGGUCCAGCUUAGCGGAAGUACAAAGUGAAAUUGAAAGAAUCUUUGAGUUGGCAAGAUCUUUGCAACUGGUCGUUCUUGAUGCAGACACCAUCAAUCACCCAGCACAACUUAUAAAGACUUCCUUAGCACCAAUUAUUGUUCAUGUAAAAGUCUCAUCUCCAAAGGUUUUACAGCGGUUGAUUAAAUCUAGAGGAAAGUCACAAAGUAAACACUUGAAUGUUCAACUGGUGGCAGCUGAUAAACUUGCACAAUGCCCCCCAGAAAUGUUUGAUGUUAUAUUGGAUGAAAAUCAGCUUGAGGAUGCGUGUGAACAUCUAGGGGAGUACCUGGAGGCGUACUGGCGUGCCACCCACACAACCAGUAGCACACCCAUGACCCCGCUGCUGGGAAGGAAUUUGGGCUCCACGGCACUCUCACCAUAUCCCACAGCAAUUUCUGGGUUACAGAGUCAGCGAAUGAGGCACAGCAACCACUCCACAGAGAACUCUCCAAUUGAAAGACGAAGUCUAAUGACCUCUGAUGAAAAUUAUCACAAUGAAAGGGCUCGGAAGAGUAGGAACCGCUUGUCUUCCAGUUCUCAGCAUAGCCGAGAUCAUUACCCUCUUGUGGAAGAAGAUUACCCUGACUCAUACCAGGACACUUACAAACCCCAUAGGAACCGAGGAUCACCUGGGGGAUAUAGCCAUGACUCCCGACAUAGGCUUUGAGUCUAAUGAAACAAAAAAUAUUCAUCUGUUGACAAUUUGCCAUAGCAGUGCUAGGAUAAACCAAUCAUCUUAACUUGGCUAACAUAGCACAGUAUUUACUGUGCUAAUGGGCUGCUGUCAUUUUAUGCUAAGUAAGGGGCAAAAAAAAAAUUACAUUAUGCCCUUGAGUCUAGAUGGAUAUUAGAUGCCCGAUCAUAUAGAUAUUUUUAAGUGCAACAUUUACAUGAUAACAGUACAUUUUGUUUUCUUCAUAGAUUUAGACACAUCAAUUUGUAAUUUAGGGUACUUACAAGGCACAUAUAAAAUAAUUUCCCAUGCCGGAAAUUCCAAAUGACCAGUUCCAGUUGGAACCAAUUUAUAAACCAAUUCCUGUUGGAAUUUGGGUGAAUUGACUAGAAAGUCUACUUGAGCAUGUUGUAAUCAACUGAAAAAUCUGGGGGAAAAAAAAAAAAACUAAUAAGAAAAUCGAAAUACCAAUAGAAGCC
This 2033-nucleotide small RNA is filed under the name Pan troglodytes (chimpanzee). Its description in RNAcentral is "processed transcript". Lineage: Eukaryota; Metazoa; Chordata; Mammalia; Primates; Hominidae. The record is from RNAcentral.